Molecule: long non-coding RNA, 296 nt
Organism: Homo sapiens (human)
Lineage: Eukaryota; Metazoa; Chordata; Mammalia; Primates; Hominidae
Exons: 3
Source: RefSeq, a predicted model, not a curated record
ACACACAAGCGGCUGGACGUUGACAGGAACACGUUGGCGUAAGACACAACGGCUGGACAUCGAGAGGAAUGCAGCGGCCUAACAGCACACACUGACAGACGCCGCAGGCCAGCAGGCCAUCAACCAGCGGAACAACGCACAGUUUGGCGGAUGGGAUAUCCUCUCCCAACCCAUCCAGCAACCUCUAUAACAGGGGUCCCCAAUCCCAGCGCCACGGACUAGUACCAGCUGGUGGCCUGUUAGGAACUGGGCCACACAGCAGAUAGGACCAUCUAGUUGCAGGAAAACAAGCUCAG